Long non-coding RNA from Zea mays, 2335 nucleotides. RefSeq lists it as uncharacterized. NCBI's taxonomy places the organism in Eukaryota, Viridiplantae, Streptophyta, Magnoliopsida, Poales, Poaceae. The record is from RefSeq and is a predicted model, not a curated record. The transcript is spliced from 6 exons.
CCUUGAGGACGUCAUCACCGCCAUUGAUCUCUCGCACAAGACCCUCUCCAGGAUCCGGCUGAACUACGUGUGGGCCCUGGGCUACAACGUCCUGGGCAUGCCGAUCGCCGUUGGCGUCCUGAUCCCUUUCACGGGCGUCGUCUGCUCCUCCAGCUCUACAAGAAAUCGCUGCACGUUGAAGACGCGCCCAGGCCCAGGGAGGACUCAGAUUUGGUGUGACUGCGAGUGAGUACUGAUCCCUCGAUCUCGAUGUGUACUAAUGAGAGCAUGUUGGCGUCACUGAUGCUUAACCAGCCAACACCUGAUCGAUCCGUGUACAGCAAGCAACACGUUUUGGAACAGUUCGCCAAUUGAUUGUGCAAUAAUUUAAGACAAGGUUUUCUCGGCUUUUGGGUAUGUUCAUAAAAUAGCCACCUAUGAAAAGGCUGCAGGUUUUCAGGCAUUGAUCCAGUACACUGAUGCAGCUACUGCUUCAGCUGCUAGAGAAUCCUUAGAUGGAAGGAGCAUCCCAAGUUACUUGCUUCCGGAGCAUGUAACAUCCUGCUGCCUGCAAAUUUCUUUUUCUACACAUAAGGAUUUGAACAUCAUGUUUUAGUCAAACCGCAGCAGGUAAUGCCCAUAAUUUGUUUUCAUGGAGUUAUUCAUUAUUAUUUCUGAUGUAAGAUCCAUCCUUUUGUCCCAUGUUCUCUUAAGUUUGAUCAUUCACUACUUUAUGGUGUUCUUGCCUGAACAGUUCUCGAUGUGAUGCCAUAACAUGAUUUGUUUUUCAACUUCAUUCUUCAUGGCUCAGUCUGAGUUGUCACUAUAGAACAUUAUUCAUGUGGAUGUUUUUUUUCCUCCUAUAUUUCUGCUGAAAAGUAGUAAUACACCAAUGCUACCUGAAGCUAAAUGCUUGUCACUGAUGGUCUUAUUUCGUUGCUAGAGAGUAGAGACAUCUGUAAUUCACUUGAGUUGGUCAAAUUUGUUAACGAGUAUGUGCAAAGGUAGUCUUUUGGAUACAAAGUGUUGCCUAUCACUUUCUAAAUUUCUGGAUAUUGAUCUGAUUCAAGUUUUUAAAAUAUUAAUAGUAUAGAGCAACUGGUAAAGGUUUCAGUUUGUCAGGUUGUCUCUUGCCUGCUCAUGGAUUCAACAGGCAGUUCAAAAGGUUGACCUAUUUGGGAAUCUCUGGAUCUAUGCUUCAGUUACAAGAUCAACACAUCCACAAGCAUCUGUUGUUCAAGCUGAAAUGCUGGAGUGGAGUCCACUGUCACGGCCAACAUGUGACUAAAUUUCCUCACUACAAUCUACACCCUGUAGUGUUGGCAUCCUCGACUCCACUAUAAGUCUCGUCUUUUUAUCUUUUACAGUAGUAUUUUUACGGACGAAUCAAACCGAACAUCAACUCGGGAUCAGGUGAUUACUUUAGCAGCAGUAUAUUCUCUAGCCUUGCUUUGCUAUUUUCAUAAAAACAUCUUGUGUUUUAUUUAUUACCAGGCACAUAUAGUAAUGUUUUAGGCAUGAUCAAUGAAACUCAAGUCCUGCUUAGUCUACUUCCUCCCACUCGCAUUCCCAUCUCAUUGUUCUGUUACACCAAAGACAGAUGGAUUUUAAAAGGUGUUACAAACGCUACCACAUUGACAUGUGACUUUACUCUGUUUUUCAGGUAGCAUGCUCGCUACUCUACCACCACUGAUCCAUAUCUUUCAAGUCAUUGUAUUACUAUUUUGCAGGCCAUCGACUAGAACAAAGAUCUUUCUAGAGAAUCAUAUUGUUGAUUCAGAAAUUUCUCUUACAACCACUGUAAAUUUGGUGUGUGUUUCGUCUUUAUAUAUGUGCUUUUGGAGAAAGCUGAUAGGCUAAAUUGUUUGGGUUCUAGGCAGUAGCUAGAAAGAGACUUGGAAGCUGAGAAAAGCUGCUGCAAUAUAUUGCAAGAACUUAUCUCACACCAUUUCAAACUCGCUCGCUUCUUUCUUUUCUACAUACAUUCAUAGUACAUCGAUAUGUGCUCCAAUUUAUAAAAUUUUAAGCGAAAUUUCUUGUGGAUGGUGACCACUACCAAGUCUGGAUCGUGAGUAGUACUUGGGAGAUACUAAUCAUUGUUUGGUAUACUAAAAUAAUCUGUUGUGGUUCUAUGCAUUCAGAAUAUGUGUUCAUGAUUUUAUUUUUGAGGAAUUGGAUGAUGUGUUGUUUACUAUCCUCGGGGCUACAUGGUGUGGGCUGUGAAGGCCGGCUGAUGUACAUAGAGAGGCUAGAGAAGGUGUCCUAGAGUUUGAGAGAGCUUUUAGGGAGAGGUUCUCUGCCUACACAUUAGCUGCUAAGAGGCAUAUUGACUCCACUACCAUCUUCGAUGUCCAAG